AAUAUAAUAUCUCCAUUUAUAUGAGCAAAUAACUGUUAUUGAAGUAAUAGAAAUAAAAUAUUUUAGUGGUUUAUAGUACCGUGAGGGAAAUCUUUUUAAUUAUUAGAAAGUUGAUUAUCGUACCUUUGGUAUCAGGGUUAAUUUACUUGUUUUCUUUAUAGAGUAUUCCCGAAAGUUUGUGAAUUACCUUCUUUGAUUGUAUGUGUAUCAUCAUAUUAGUGAAUUUGGGGGUCGUUUCUAUAAGUUAUUCGGACAAUUAUAUCUGGUUAGUCACUUAUUCUUUUAGAGAUAUCAAUAUUUUUUAUUGUUUAUUUGGUAGGGGAUGAGCUCUAUUAAUAGUUAUAUAUCUUUAUAAAUAAAUAUAUUCUUUAAAGCUUAUAAGUAGCUAAAGUUUAGCAACUUAGAUAUGGUAUAAAAGAUUUAAAGUUUAUUAAAAUAUUCAGUGUCUUAUUUCCUACACUAAUUUAGGAUAUAACUAAUGAUUAAAUGAGUAAGAUUAAGAUUUAUAUUUAUGUUGGUGAUGUUCAAGUUUAAAAUUAAAAUAACAUAUAAGGAACUCGGCAAAGAAGUCUCCGCCUGUUUAACAAAGACAUGGCCUUAUGAUUUUUUAAGGUCUGACCUGCCCACUGAUAACUUAAAGGGCCGUGGUAUAUUGACCAUGCGAAGGUAGCAUAAUCACUUGCCUCUUGAUUAGAGGCUAGAAUGAAGGGUUAGACGAGGGAUUUUCUGUCUCAUAUGUUUGUAUGAAAUUAAUUACUGGGUGAAAAAGCUCAGAUUAUUUUGAAGGACGAUAAGACCCUAUGGAUCUUUAUAAAUUUACUUAAAGAAUUUGGUUGUUAGGAUCUUGGAGAAGUUUUAUUGUGUUGGGGCGACACUGAGAGGAGAUUUAUCCCUCAGUCUAUUCAGACAUAUAUCUAUGAUAUAAGAUCCUUUAGUGAAAUUAGAUUAAGUUACCCUAGGGAUAACAGCGUUAUAUCCUUUGAGAGUUCAUAUCGACAAGGAUGAUUACGACCUCGAUGUUGGUUCAGGGAACCUUUAAGGUGUAGUAGUUUUAAAAGGAGGUCUGUUCGACCUUUAAAUCCCUACGUGAUCUGAGUUCAGACCGGCGUAAGCCAGGUUAGUUUCUACCCUCAAAGUAGUUUACUCUAUAAUAGUACGAAAGGACCCUAUAAAGUUUUA
This 1179-nucleotide ribosomal RNA is filed under the name Eubranchipus grubii. RNAcentral describes it as "16S ribosomal RNA". The stretch from base 757 to 1138 matches the Rfam family "Bacterial large subunit ribosomal RNA", at positions 2049 to 2651 of the family's 2925-position model. Lineage: Eukaryota; Metazoa; Arthropoda; Branchiopoda; Anostraca; Chirocephalidae. The record is from RNAcentral.